This is a ribosomal RNA of 3791 nucleotides. It matches the Rfam family "Eukaryotic large subunit ribosomal RNA", at positions 33 to 2421 of the family's 3401-position model.
UUUAAGCAUAUCACUCAGUGGAGGAAAGGCAAGCAACCGCGAUUGCUCCAGUAACGGCGAGUGAACCGGCAGGCACAAGCAGAACAGAGGGGUUGUUUGUGACGUGGGCUCCCCUUGAGAUACAAUCACACGAGAUUCCCUGUCAAAGACCCUACGCUGUGGGGCAGAUCUACUAGAAUCAGACCUGUGGACCGGCUGUCUCAGACUGUGGGCAAUCUUGUCAAGCAAUCAUCAUGCUGUGAGCUGAGGGAGCCGCUGGUGGGCUCCGGUUGUGACCCUGGCACCAGGCAGAGGGCUCUGGAAUGAGCCGCACGUGUGGGUGACAGUCCCCAACCACAGCGCGUGCCUGGGGUUCACCGGAGUUCCUGCCAGUUGGCAUCCCGGAGUAGAGUGGCUUGGGACUGCAGUUUGAAGCGUGAUGUGUAUCCAUCACAAGGAAGCAUACAGACCUGGGACCGAUAGCGCACAAGUAGAGCAAUCGAAGGAUGCAAAGAACUCCGUGAAGAGGGUUAAAAGCCCCUGAAGCCGUCAUGGGAACGGUGGUGAGUGGUGCUGUGGCUGUGUGAAGGUGCUAGCUCCUCCCCGCUGGGAGGCCUGAUGUUGCUCCAAAAGGCACACACGAGCGGUGUGGAUCAAUGAGAUUCCUGGUGGACUCCCCUCUGGGGAGAGAGAGGCAAUGUGUGGCUACUACCUUCCGGAUACCGUCCAAGCACCCUCGGGCCAGCCCUGGGCUGGUCACUGAGCCCCCACCCUCCUGGGGUGUGGGGACGCAGUCGUGACAGCCAUCAAGGUGACACCCUGCCUGUCAGGGCCUGAGGGGAUGCUACAUGAUUGUGAAGGCAAACAAGCAGUGGUCUGACCAGCCAACUGACUCAGUGCAAGUGUGACUCGAGGCAAGGCAAAAGCAGUGCUGACGUAACACCCAAAACCCUGGCUGCUGUGUGGUGGCUCUCCCCUGAGACCACCCCACACGCACCCCGGGGUCCACUGGGGUUCCCCAAUGGAUCUGGGGUCUGGCGCCCGCGUGGUGGCUGCACCAUUCUGACUGGUGGCCGCCGCGCUGGGCUCGCUGACCCCCCACUGGGGGCCCCAGUGCAGAGGACGCGUGGAUUCUGAGCUUGGCCCAUCCUGUGGUGGUGCCGCUCUCUGCCCGUCUUGAAACACGGACCAAGGAGUCUAUGGAGUGUGCAGAGGUUGCAUGGAGCUCAAGUGUCAAACCACAGGGCGUGGUGAAGGCAAACCGGCAAGGGAGGCAGACACCCCAGAAGUGCCCCGGCUCAAGACCGGGGCCUGCGUGGGUUGAGCCCUCCUCCGUCCCAGAUUGCGUCUGAAUCAGGCCACAUCCAAGGGCCAGAGAGUCUUCUGCUGCACGGGAUCGCCAGUCCCGAAGUCCAUCGGACAGGGUUUUGAGUGCUUGCAUGGUCCAUGGGACCCGAAAGGUGGUGAACUAUACCAUUCUACAGCGAAGCCAUGGGAAACUGUGGUGGAGGCUGGUCCGCUGUUCUGACGUGCAAAUCGUGUAGCCUGAGCGUGGCAUAGGGGUGAAAGGCCAAUCGAGCCACCUAGUAGCUGGUUCCCUUCGAAGUUUCCCUCAGGAUAGCUGGGCUCAGAAGCAAAGGAUCUCUGAAGACAGGCAAAGGCAAGGCAAAACAGGCUGACAACCGCUGGUUGCGUCCGGUAAAGCAACGCAUGAGAGGCAUCUUCCGGGGGACCCCUGUCCCUCGACCUAUUCUCGAACUGUGAAUGGGCGUGGCGAACCCAAACAGUAGUACCUUCUCAGUGUGAUUUCAGCAGGAAGGCAUGCUUCUUCACAGGCCCCGGAGGCCACUGCUCCCACAGUGGUUCUCCCCCGCAAGGGGCAUCAUUUCUGAGCAUGUUCACAGGCAGAUGCUGCCAAAACACGGAGAACACAGGGGCCUAUGUGGGCCAUGACUGGUAAGCAGUGCUGGCGAUGCGGGGUGCUCCGAGAGUGGAUUUACAGAUCCGGAAUGCUGGCUCAUACUCAGAACCCACAAAGGAUGUUGCCUGCUCUGGAUAGCAGGACGGUGGCCAUGAAGGUUGGAACCCGCUGAGGAAUGUGUAACAACUCACCUGCCGAAGCGUGCAGCUCCGAAAAUGGAUGGUGCCCAAGUCAGUUGGAUGCAGCACGGUGGCGUUCCACCGUGGAGUCUCCCUCACAAUCCACCGUUAGCUGUGGAUAGCCAAAGCAGAGCAUCAACGUGUAGAAAGGGCAUGAGAGACAAGGCUGAGCCGGUUGGGGUUGCCCCUGACUGGAGUGUCUUCUGGCGCAGAUCUUGGUUGUAGUAGCGAAUACUCCAUUGAGUGAAACAAGGGUGUGGCACACAGCCCGCCACAAGGCUGCUCCCCCGUGGGGUGGCUGAGUGGUGGUGCCUGUCCCGUGCCUACACCUCCGCCAUGUGCGGUUGAGGACUGGAGUGGAGCAGGUUUCCACACCAAACAGCCGUUGAAUGUGGGUCAAGCGACCGUGAGUCAAGUGGUAAGUUCACAGAUGUCAACCAAAGCUGCCAAGGAGAGCCAUCCCACCCAGGCAUGAGACAAGGCCCGUCCCUCUGGCUCCCCCUGGGGUGUGUGAUGUGCUUCGAACACCAACAACGUCAGGGCUCGUGCGGGCAGGAAUGGCAAACAGGCAAGCAAGUGCAACAUUCUGCUGUGGUGAGGUUGGGGUGCCCCGGGACGGCAACGUCUGGUGUGCAUACGACAAGCAAGUUGACCGUGCUUCGGAAGCCAACCGGGCCUGAUGGUGUGUAUCCACCCCUGGAUCUCACCUGAAACCGGGGGGUCUCCGGGGUGCAACUGUGUGUGGAAUGAGCAGGCUUAGGGGCAGUGGCACCCCCGAGGAGUUAUCGUUUCCUCCUGAUGCAGACUCAUGUGGGCUACAGAUUGGCAUCUCAGUGUGGCGAUGUACCGUCCUCCGCUCAGCAAGGUGGUGUGCUCUGGGCAUGCCAGUGGUCUUUCUCUCUCUCGUUCACUGCUGGAAUGUGUGCAAAGGCAGGCAAUGUGGCCCCGUUGUGUGGUGUGGUUGGCCAACCAACCCCCCACACCGUGGGGUCCCACAGGGCUUGACCGUGACAAGUGUGUGGUGGUCACUGGCUCCAAUGAAAGGCCCGUCCAGGACGUGGUGCCCCCAGCAGCCUCUAUGGGGUCUCGUACUGAAUCACCGCAGCCGGUCUCCUCGACGAAAGGUCGCUAGUCCACGGAUGAAAUGCAGCUAAGGGAAGUCGGCAAACUGGCUGUGCACCUUCGGAAGAUGCAGUGGCUCCAGAGGCCAAGUGUCUCGUAUCGUGGGAGGCCCCGCGGCAGUGGCCAGGACCCCGGUCCUGUGCCGUGGCCGUGGGGGUCACCCCGGAGGCUGGGGAUUCCUAUCCCCGGCCACCGGUGUGGCCACCCUCCCCGCUGGGUCAGCCCACACGUCACGUGGGGGCUGCUGCCUGGCAAGGACUGUCUAUAGUGGCUCAUGUGGAACUGUUGCUGUGCAGGGGAAUCUAACUGUUUAAUUGAAACCCAGCUUUGUGACGGGACCAGCUGGCUGGUUCCAUGAGGUGACUUCUGCCCAGUGCUCUGAUUGUCAAUGCGAAGAGAUUCAGCCAAGCGCGGGUAAACGGCGGGAGUAACUAUGACUCUCUUAAGGUAGCCAAAUGCCUCGUCAACCAAUUAUUGACGCGCAUGAAUGGAUCAAUGAGAUUCCUGCUGUCCCUAGCCGCUGUCUGGUGAACCAACAACCAAGGGAACGGGCUUGGAUGUGUCAGCGGGGAAAGAAGAGCCUGUUGAGA